RNAcentral lists this ribosomal RNA (3615 nucleotides) under Triticum aestivum (bread wheat). RNAcentral's name for it is "partial small subunit ribosomal RNA". Lineage: Eukaryota; Viridiplantae; Streptophyta; Magnoliopsida; Poales; Poaceae. The record is from RNAcentral.
AUGGAGGUCACCAUGGUGAGCAUUGGCAGGUCCGUGCUCAGCGGGGCACUUGGCUUCGCCAAGUCCAACUUCGCCGAGGAGGUGGCCCUGCAGCUCGGAGUAAAUCGUGACAAGGCCUUCAUCACCGACGAGCUGGAGAUCAUGCAGUCUUUCUUGUUGACUGCGCACGAGGAGCGAGACGAGCACAGCAGGGUGGUCAGGAUCUUGGUGAAGCAGGUCCGUGACCUUGCCUACGACGUCGAGGAUGGCCUUCAGGAUUUCUUCCUCCAUGUCCACCGGAAAUCCUGGUGGCGCAUCCCUCGCACACUCCUCGACCGGCAUCAUGUCGCAAGGCAGAUGAAGGAGCUGCGUGCCAAGGUUGAGGACGUGGGCCAGAGGAAUUUGCGCUACCGCCUCAUCGAUGGUACUUCCGAAGCUUCCCAUCUCUCCAUCACCACUGUUGCUCCCACGUUUGAUGUUUCUAAAGCACUAAGGCAAAUCACGGAUCAGCAUCAAUUAAGAUUAACAUUCAGUCUUGCCCAGCUGAUCAUCGCGCAAGAAUUGUUCUCGAAUAAUCAAAUCAGAGUGAUCGGAAUUUGGGGGGCAAGUGGCAGCAUUGGGCAUGCCUCCAUCAUCUGGGAUGCCUACUAUAAUCCAGAUGUAAAGCUAAAUUUCCCUUGCCGAGCAUGGGUCCGGCUGGCAUCCCCUUUCCACCCAAAAGAAUUUGUUCAAAGUAUAGUGAGACAGUUCCGAGCAACUGCCGAAGGAUUGGUUGAUUUUCCAUUGGAGUUGGAGCUGGAUGAGGCAAAAACGGGGCAAGAGUUGGCUGACGAAUACAGUAGGUAUGUCGAUGAGAAGAGGUACUUGAUCGUGCUUACUGGCCUAUCCACCAUUGAAGAAUGGCUUCAGAUCAAGACUUGCUUCCUGGAAAACAAGAUGGGGAGCCGAAUCGUAGUGUCCACAGAGCAAGCUGAAGUUGCAAACCUUUGUGCAGGCCAGAAAAGUAAGGUUUACAAGCUCGAACAAUUGUCUGAUGAUCAUACCAUCUAUGCUUUCUACCUGGAGUAUUUCUACAUGACAUUGGACUGCACCAAGAAAGUGAUACAAGAAGACCAACCUAAUACAGAUGUUGAUGGAAAGAACGAGAUACAAGAAGACCAAGAUGAGCUCACACACUCCAACAAGAUGGGUUGUGUUCCAAGGGAAUUUCAGCUUAUUGGACGGGAGAAAGAAAAAUCUGAUAUUAUUGAACUGAUUCGAGAACUCUCUAGCAUCAGACAGUUUGAGGUGAUUGCGGUGUGGGGAAUGAGUGGUUUUGGAAAAACCACUCUGAUCAAAGAUGUUUGCCAGGGACAAGAGGUCAAUGACAUGUUUGACAAAACUGCUUUUGUCACGGUCUUGCAGCCUUUCAGGCUUGAGGGGCUCCUUAGGAGCUUGGCAUUGCAACUAGAUGCAAGCAAGGGAAAUAUUGCUUCAAUGGGAGUUGCAGAUCUGACUAGAGUGUUGGGUAGGCAUAUAAAAGGAAAGAGUUGCUUGAUUGUUCUUGACGACCUCCCAUCUACUACGGAAUGGGAUACAAUAAUGGCAAGUUUAGGUGCAAAGGGUACUUCAAGCUUGGUCAUUGUGAUCACCACAAGGCGGGAGGAUGUUGCUAAGCAUUGUUGCAAAAAACCAGAAUGCAUACGCUUGCUCAACGGUCUAGAAGAAAAGGAUGCGUUGUACCUGUUCACAAGAAAGGUAUUUAAGAAUAAGAAAACAGAUUUGGCUCGGGAGUAUCCUAAGCUGGUUGUACCUGCAAAACAAAUCCUGAACAAGUGCAUUGGGCAUCCCCUUGCUAUAAUCUCCAUAGGUAGUUUCUUGGGAAGCCAACCACAAAAAACUGUUGCCGAGUGGAGGAAAGUGAAUGAGCUUCUCAGUGUUCAGCUGGAGAUGUAUACAUUGUUUCAUGCCAUAAAACUAGUCCUUAUGAAAAGUUAUGAUGGCUUACCCUAUUACCUCAAGUCUUGUUUCCUUUACCUAUCCAUCUUCCUUGAGGACCGCAAUGUUAGCCGAAGACGUCUGGUGUACCGAUGGGUUGCGGAAGGUUACUCAAGGGAUAUAGCUGUAGCGGAUAGUUACUUCAUGAAACUCAUAGAGAGAAGCAUGAUAUUACCAACUCAGGUUUCACAUUGCGGCGUACAAGGAAUUGACUCCUGUGAGCUACAUGAUCUGAUCCGUGAAAUCUGCAUUGCAACGUCAAUGGAGGAAAAUCUUGUUUUGAGGCUGGAGGAAGGGUGUAGCUUGAACAUGCAUAGCACAGUGCGUCACCUUGCCAUAAGCAGCAAUUGGGACGGAGAUGAGACUGAGUUGGAGAACACCGUGGAGCUGUCCCGUAUACGGUCGUUGACAGUGUUUGGCAAGUGGAGGCCAUUUUACAUUUCUCACAAGAUGAGGUUUCUUCGGGUGCUGGAUCUAGAAGGAGUAGAAGGUCUAGCUGAUCAUCACCUUGAGCACAUCGGGAAGCAUCUCCAUCUGAGAUACCUUUCUCUAAGAUGGUGUGAAGGCAUCACUUACCUCCCAGAUUCCAUCGGUAACCUGAGACAUCUCGAGACACUAGACAUCAAAGGGACAGAAAUAUUUAAACUGCCCAAAACCAUCACCAAGCUUAGUAAGCUACUUAAUCUCAAAGCUGGUCGCCCAUCCCUUUAUCCAUGUGAGCUUCACAAGGGGGCGAAACUACUAUGCUGCAUACCUAGCCGCAUGAGAUUUAACUGGCGUCAUGGUGCAUGCACUCCUUUUGCUAGGUGUAUAGAGGGAUACAAUGUUGGUGUUAAGGUGCCAAGAGGGACAAGGAAAUUGAAAGCCCUGCAUACACUGCGGUAUGUGCACCUUGCCUGGGGAAAUGCCAUUAUAAAAGAGAUAAAAUGUCUCACCAGCCUGCGAAAGCUAGGAGUGGUCGGCAUCAACAAUACAAACGGUCUGGAGUUCUGUUCAGCCAUUUCCAGUCUCUGCCGUCUUGAAUCGCUGUCAGUGCUGGCGCAUGAUAGCUUAAAUGGCUGUUUGGAUGGCAUGUGCACAGCUCCAGAAAAUCUCCAGAGCCUCAAGCUGUCCGGCAGCUUGGAAAAAUUGCCGGUAUGGAUCAAGGGGCUUCAGAAUCUGGUGAAGCUGAAGCUCCAGUUCACCACACUAUCAUGCAACUGGGCAGCCAUGGAGACCCUUGGGUACCUGCCAUACCUAUCCAUUCUGGGUUUGCAUGAGGGGGAGUCUAUGAUGGAUGUAAUCAGGUUCCAGAGUGGUCUGUUUAGAAAACUCACGGUGCUCGAUCUUCUCUACUUUAGCAUGGAAAUCAAAUCAGUGGAGUUUGAGGAAGGAUCAAUGCCCAAGCUUGAGGUGCUGACCCUUUUCCUUGAAGAUACUGAAACUGCCUUCUUUGGGCUAGAACAUCUGCGAAGCAUCAAGGAAGUACGGCUCGGGGUUCAGUUUAACGAGAAUUCAACCAAAUUCUCAGAAAAUAUGAGCUUAGAAGAAAUGGAGAAAGCAGAAGAACAGAGUAAAGAAGCAGAGAAGAAAACAAAACUCGUCAAAGACAAACUGAGGAAGGAGUUGCAGAUCCAACUUCAUAGGGAUGAAAACCGGCCCAUCUUGAAGGUGGAAUGA